UACGGAGGGUGCGAGCGUUGUCCGGAAUCAUUGGGCGUAAAGGGCGCGUAGGUGGCCUGGUAAGCGUGCGGUGAAAGCCUGGGGCUCAACCCCGGGUCUGCCGUGCGAACUGCUAGGCUUGAGCUCUGUAGAGGCAGGCGGAAUUCCGGGUGUAGCGGUGGAAUGCGUAGAGAUCCGGAAGAACACCGGUGGCGAAGGCGGCCUGCUGGGCAGUUGCUGACACUGAGGCGCGACAGCGUGGGGAGCAAACAGG
RNAcentral lists this ribosomal RNA (253 nucleotides) under uncultured bacterium. RNAcentral describes it as "partial 16S ribosomal RNA". It matches the Rfam family "Bacterial small subunit ribosomal RNA", at positions 524 to 776 of the family's 1533-position model. The record is from RNAcentral.